Molecule: transfer RNA, 72 nt
Filed under: Marmota monax (woodchuck)
Lineage: Eukaryota; Metazoa; Chordata; Mammalia; Rodentia; Sciuridae
Also listed under: 2 other names
Rfam family: tRNA
About the family: Transfer RNA (tRNA) molecules are approximately 80 nucleotides in length.
Source: Rfam by way of RNAcentral
GGGGAUGUGGCUUGGUGGUAGAGCACUUGCCUAGCAUGUUCAAGGACCUGGGUUCAAUCCCUAGCAUCACAA